Molecule: ribosomal RNA, 375 nt
Filed under: uncultured bacterium
Lineage: Bacteria
Description: bacterial SSU rRNA
Rfam family: Bacterial small subunit ribosomal RNA
Source: RNAcentral
UAAGACGAAGGGGGCUAGCGUUGUUCGGAAUUACUGGGCGUAAAGGGCGCGUAGGCGGUUUGUUAAGUCAGGCGUGAAAGCCCUGGGCUCAACCUGGGAGGUGCGUUUGAUACUGGCAAGCUUGAGUGCAGGAGAGGAUGGUGGAAUUCCCAGUGUAGAGGUGAAAUUCGUAGAUAUUGGGAAGAACACCGGUGGCGAAGGCGGCCAUCUGGACUGCAACUGACGCUGAGGCGCGAAAGCGUGGGGAGCAAACAGGAUUAGAUACCCUGGUAGUCCACGCUGUAAACGAUGAGUGCUGGACGUUGGUGGGCUUGCCUGCCGGUGUCGUAGCUAACGCGAUAAGCACUCCGCCUGGGGAGUACGGCCGCAAGGUUA